Molecule: ribosomal RNA, 123 nt
Organism: Rhinopithecus roxellana (golden snub-nosed monkey)
Lineage: Eukaryota; Metazoa; Chordata; Mammalia; Primates; Cercopithecidae
Source: Ensembl
AUCUAUAGCCACACCACCCUGAACAUGUCCAAUCUCAUCAGAUCUCAGAAGCUAAGCAGGGUCGGAGCUGGUUAGUACUUGGACAGAAGAAUGAUCUUUGGAGAGAUUUUUUCUUUGAAAAAU